AAGUAAACUCAAUCCUAUCUCUCUCUCUCUCUCUCUAAACUCUCUCUACUCUCUCCUUCUCUCUAGAAUUCUUCGCCGAUCGUUGACAGAAUCGAAAAACAGAAGCUACCAUGAGGAUCGUGAAAGGAUUCUCUACAACUUCUACGGUUCGAAAUCUCGUUUCGGAGAUUUUUGGGUUUUGGCGUAAAAUUGAGGUUUUGAAAUUCGGUUCGCUGUUUAGGGACCUUGGAGUUCAGGAUUUGCUUACGAGGUUGAGGUCCUUCGGGUAACCGAAACUAGCGUCCUGGUGUAGGAAGCGUAGUGGCCGGUGUACUACGUUAGCGCUUGGGUAAGUGUUAGGACUGUAGUUUUGUUGGGUUGCCAUUUUGAGUUGUAUUUGGGUACUCAGUUUGUCUAUUUUGUUAGAGCCAUGUUCUACUCUUGUAUAGACUCUGGUAUGGAACUGCAUAUGUUGAUAUAGAAUAACUUUUUUCGCUGCGUA
Malania oleifera is the source of this 481-nucleotide long non-coding RNA. RefSeq lists it as uncharacterized. Lineage: Eukaryota; Viridiplantae; Streptophyta; Magnoliopsida; Santalales; Ximeniaceae. The record is from RefSeq and is a predicted model, not a curated record. The transcript is spliced from 3 exons.